GCGUAGGGUAUGUAGGUUGUGAAAAAAGAAAAAACAAAAAUACUAGGUACUUAUCUUUUAGGUUUUUUACUAAUUCAUAGAAUCUCAGAAAGGGGAUGGUACGUUUUUGUGAGUGGUUAAAUAGUAGAUAAAAAAUGGACCGACAGUGGCGAAAGAAUUACCUUUUCGAGUAUUGACGUAAGGUACGAAGGCAGGGGAGCAAAGCGGAUUAGACACCCGCGUAGUCCGUGUGUCAACGCUGAGUUUUCAAUGUAGAAUAAAUGGAGAAAAACAUUUAUAUUUAUAUUUGUAAUUUCUUCAAAAGUGUGGUGUUUGAGUAACGCAUUAAAUUCUCCGCUGGGAAGUACGGCCGCAGGUUGGAACUCAAAAGAAUUGAGGUGACUUGUACGAGG
RNAcentral lists this ribosomal RNA (392 nucleotides) under Metatrichia horrida. Its description in RNAcentral is "partial small subunit ribosomal RNA". It matches the Rfam family "Bacterial small subunit ribosomal RNA", at positions 558 to 930 of the family's 1533-position model. Lineage: Eukaryota; Evosea; Eumycetozoa; Trichiida; Trichiidae. The record is from RNAcentral.